UAUCAACCAAUAGAGGCACCGAAGGAGA
RNAcentral lists this non-coding RNA (28 nucleotides) under Rattus norvegicus (Norway rat). Lineage: Eukaryota; Metazoa; Chordata; Mammalia; Rodentia; Muridae. The record is from RNAcentral.